CGUACACAAAAGCGCAUGUGCUGUGAGCUCGAUGAGUAGGGCGGGACACGUGGUAUCCUGUCUGAAUAUGGGGGGACCAUCCUCCAAGGCUAAAUACUCCUGACUGACCGAUAGUGAACCAGUACCGUGAGGGAAAGGCGAAAAGAACCCCGGCGAGGGGAGUGAAAAAGAACCUGAAACCGUGUACGUACAAGCAGUGGGAGCCCCACCACUAAGCCAGUGGUGAACUCCACAUACGCAUCCUUUGCUGAAGGUGCGGUUAACGGAGCGCAAGCGACGCCCAACACACAAAACAAGCGGUGAGUGCUUUGGGGUGGGGUGACUGCGUACCUUUUGUAUAAUGGGUCAGCGACUUAUAUUCUGUAGCAAGGUUAACCGUAUAGGGGAGCCGGAGGGAAA
RNAcentral lists this ribosomal RNA (399 nucleotides) under Salmonella enterica subsp. enterica serovar Kentucky. RNAcentral describes it as "bacterial LSU rRNA". It matches the Rfam family "Bacterial large subunit ribosomal RNA", at positions 374 to 676 of the family's 2925-position model. The record is from RNAcentral. Lineage: Bacteria; Pseudomonadati; Pseudomonadota; Gammaproteobacteria; Enterobacterales; Enterobacteriaceae.